RNAcentral lists this ribosomal RNA (460 nucleotides) under uncultured bacterium. Its description in RNAcentral is "partial 16S ribosomal RNA". It matches the Rfam family "Bacterial small subunit ribosomal RNA", at positions 338 to 795 of the family's 1533-position model. The record is from RNAcentral.
CCUACGGGUGGCAGCAGUGAGGAAUAUUGGUCAAUGGACGAAAUCCUGAACCAGCCAUGCCGCGUGCAGGACGACGGCUCUACGAGUUGUAAACUUCUUUUGUACGGGGGUAAAAUGCUCUACGAGUGGGGUUUUGUAAGUACCGUACGAAUAAGGAUCGGCUAACUCCGUGCCAGCAGCCGCGGUAAUACGGAGGAUCCGAGCGUUAUCCGGAUUUAUUGGGUUUAAAGGGUGCGUAGGUGGUUUUUUAAGUCAGCGGUGAAAUACCGAGGCUCAACCGCAGAGGUGCCGUUGAAACUGGAAGACUAGAGUACAGAAGAAGUAGGCGGAAUGUGUAGUGUAGCGGUGAAAUGCAUAGAUAUUACGCAGAACACCGAUUGCGAAGGCAGCUCGCUGGGCUGGAUCUGACACUGAGGCACGAAAGCGUGGGGAUCGAACAGGAUUAGAUACCCCAGUAGUC